RNAcentral lists this ribosomal RNA (475 nucleotides) under uncultured bacterium. Its description in RNAcentral is "partial 16S ribosomal RNA". It matches the Rfam family "Bacterial small subunit ribosomal RNA", at positions 28 to 507 of the family's 1533-position model. The record is from RNAcentral.
GACGAACGCUGGCGGCGUGCUUAACACAUGCAAGUCGAACGGAAAGGCCCUGCUUUUGUGGGGUGCUCGAGUGGCGAACGGGUGAGUAACACGUGAGUAACCUGCCCUUGACUUUGGGAUAACUUCAGGAAACUGGGGCUAAUACCGGAUAGGAGCUCCUGCUGCAUGGUGGGGGUUGGAAAGUUUCGGCGGUUGGGGAUGGACUCGCGGCUUAUCAGCUUGUUGGUGGGGUAGUGGCUUACCAAGGCUUUGACGGGUAGCCGGCCUGAGAGGGUGACCGGGCAGAGGGGAAAUUGGACACGGGUCCCACCCCGACGGGAGGCAGCAGUUAGGAAUGUGCAACGAUGGGCGAAAGGCUGAUGGAGCGAAGCCGCGUGAGGGAUGAAGGUCUUCGGAUCGUGAACCGCGGAAGCAGGGACGAAAGACGCGAAAGCGGGAUGACGGUACCGGAGUAAUAGCACCGGCUAACUCCGUG